AACACCGAAGGCUCCUCAAUAGAUGUCUUGGAUAGUGGUGUUGGUCGAUUAGCCAGAUCAAGGUCUAGAUUUUUAGGAGCAUAAGGAUAAGAACCCCUUCCUAUAAAGGCACAAACUGUCUCUUCAUAUUCCCCGAUGCCUUCACUAUCAUAAUUCAUUACGAUAGCUGCCAAAGGUUUGAUAACAAAUUGUUGAGCUAUGGACUUAUCAUGUUCAUCCUCAUAAUACACAUCAACUAUUGAGAACACACUUAUUUUUUCAUGCUGCUUAAUUGAUUUU
Molecule: long non-coding RNA, 279 nt
Filed under: Capsicum annuum
Lineage: Eukaryota; Viridiplantae; Streptophyta; Magnoliopsida; Solanales; Solanaceae
Description: long non-coding RNA (CANN_LNC001152)
Source: RNAcentral